Molecule: transfer RNA, 76 nt
Filed under: Microbacterium sp.
Lineage: Bacteria; Bacillati; Actinomycetota; Actinomycetes; Micrococcales; Microbacteriaceae
Also listed under: 3 other names
Description: tRNA-Gly
Rfam family: tRNA
About the family: Transfer RNA (tRNA) molecules are approximately 80 nucleotides in length. Their secondary structure includes four short double-helical elements and three loops (D, anti-codon, and T loops). Further hydrogen bonds mediate the characteristic L-shaped molecular structure. tRNAs have two regions of fundamental functional importance: the anti-codon, which is responsible for specific mRNA codon recognition, and the 3' end, to which the tRNAs corresponding amino acid is attached (by aminoacyl-tRNA synthetases). tRNAs cope with the degeneracy of the genetic code in two manners: having more than one tRNA (with a specific anti-codon) for a particular amino acid; and 'wobble' base-pairing, i.e. permitting non-standard base-pairing at the 3rd anti-codon position.
Source: RNAcentral
GCGGAUGAGGCCCAUGUGGACGGGCGGGAGUCUUCCAAACUCCAGGCAGCGGGUUCGAGGCCCGUCAUCCGCUCCA